Molecule: unclassified non-coding RNA, 273 nt
Filed under: plant metagenome
Description: partial contains small subunit ribosomal RNA, internal transcribed spacer 1, and 5.8S ribosomal RNA
Rfam family: 5.8S ribosomal RNA (bases 225-273)
Source: RNAcentral
UUUCCGUAGGUGAACCUGCGGAAGGAUCAUUACUUAGUUUUGAAUGAAGUUGUUCUGGUCUUUCGGGGCAAGUGAACGCUUCUCUCAAUUCAUCUUACACCUGUGCACCUAUCGGGGAAGACUUGGAUCUAAGUUGGGUCACGACGGCGAUCUACAGUCUCCUCUUUAUACCAAAUAACAGUUUUAGGAAGUCUGUUUUGCUUGAUGCAACCUUAAAUAAAUACAACUAUCAACAACGGAUCUCUUGGCUCUCGCAUUGAUGAAGAACGCAGC